GAUGAACGCUGGCGGCGUGCCUAAUACAUGCAAGUCGAGCGAACAGAUAAGGAGCUUGCUCCUUUGACGUUAGCGGCGGACGGGUGAGUAACACGUGGGUAACCUACCUAUAAGACUGGGAUAACUUCGGGAAACCGGAGCUAAUACCGGAUAACAUUUGGAACCGCAUGGUUCUAAAGUGAAAGAUGGUUUUGCUAUCACUUAUAGAUGGACCCGCGCCGUAUUAGCUAGUUGGUAAGGUAACGGCUUACCAAGGCAACGAUACGUAGCCGACGUGAGAGGGUGAUCGGCCACACUGGAACUGAGACACGGUCCAGACUCCUACGGGAGGCAGCAGUAGGGAAUCUUCCGCAAUGGGCGAAAGCCUGACGGAGCAACGCCGCGUGAGUGAUGAAGGGUUUCGGCUCGUAAAACUCUGUUAUUAGGGAAGAACAAAUGUGUAAGUAACUGUGCACGUCUUGACGGUACCUAAUCAGAAAGCCACGGCUAACUACGUG
RNAcentral lists this ribosomal RNA (497 nucleotides) under uncultured bacterium. RNAcentral describes it as "partial 16S ribosomal RNA". It matches the Rfam family "Bacterial small subunit ribosomal RNA", at positions 28 to 507 of the family's 1533-position model. The record is from RNAcentral.